Long non-coding RNA from Equus caballus (horse), 2054 nucleotides. NCBI's taxonomy places the organism in Eukaryota, Metazoa, Chordata, Mammalia, Perissodactyla, Equidae. The record is from Ensembl.
GUAAUUUAUUUACCUAGUUCCCUGAGAGUAGAGUUUCUGGUGGUUUCUUGCCUUUUCCUAUAGUGACUGUCCUCUUUCAUAGAUCUUUCUAUUCCUGCCUGUGCUCCGCACGAUAAACUAUUCAUGGUAAUUUGGGCUAAUUGUUACGAGCAGCAGCUGUUGAACCCAAACACCGCUGCAGGGUGGGAAGAAGCUCAGGUGUCGGGCUGGAGCUUCACCUCUCCAGUCGGAUCCUCCCCUCACGUGCUUGGUGUUCAGUAAAUUGUGGUUUCUUUCUUCCUUGAUAGGGGAGGUGUUGCUGCAAGGAUCAUGAGUGCAUCCCAUAUUAAUUAGGGAGAUUGUAAGAGGUUUUGCAGGACUCCUUGGAUAUAUAAUCAGAGACUAGAAUGGUGCUUUGCCAUUGCAGCCUAUUUGUUUUCCAGUUAAUAAGGAGAAAGAAUUGGGCCGUCUGGCUGAUACACUUGUUACUAAUUAGCUGUGUGGCAAUACCCUCUUUUGGGCGUUAGCUUCCCUAUGUACAAAAGAAGGUUUCACUAGCUCCAGUCCUGGAGGGCACACGGCCCAGCCCCGGACAGCCUUUUGCCUUGCAGGAACGCAGACCCAGUGAUGCCAGGUCUAAAUUUUCAAGAAAAGCUAGAAAUCCAGAUUAUGUAGAGAUUCAAUAUUUAAAAGUUGGGAACUUUUUUUUUUAAGUCAAUUGCUGGAGCACCAGUUUGCUGUCUCUGAAUUAAUGUGAUUUUAAGCAUUUCUCGUAGUGACCUGUUGAAGCAUUGUGUCUGAGUGCAGAGACGGAACUCUUGAAGAACGGAAGAGAUUUCAGAGAAAAGUGACAAAUUAAAUGAUACGUCUUGUGGCAAAGUGACCAGCACACAGUAAUCAUUCAGUUCGUGUUUGUUUAUGAAAAAUCACUUAAAAACGAAAAGACGAGGAGGAGGAAGGAGCCAAGAGCUGGCCGCCACCGUCUUCAGUCACAUUGGUCACCUGGAAAGCAGAAUCCUAUCAAUGGAAUUGUAUUGUUCCCUUGCUUUCAACAUUGUGGCCAUCUACUCAUCCUGUCUCCAGGAAUUGCUUAGCUGUAUUUCUCGCAGUAGCUGAAGAAACUGAGGCUCAGGGCUGCCUUGCUAGCCAGCAGCUGGGCUUAGCUUUGAUUCCAGUCUGCCUUGGCUACCACGGCUGACCUCUUGCCACGCCACCGUUGCCUCUCUCUCUCCAUGCUCCAUGGGCACCGCGAUGCCAGCAGUCUCCCUGAGGAGCCAGGCCUCGGGCUGUGCAGGCCCCUUGCAUUAAGAGACCCUCUGCAUAUCUUCUUUCCCUCCCACUGAUGGGGCUGUCAUGGAAAGCAGACCCCGUCCCUGCUCUCAGGAAGCUUCCUUUCCAGAAGUCGACAAUGUGACUGCAUGAACUCACAGGAUAAAUUAGAUUGUGGUAAGUGCUGUGACAAGAUGACACUGGGCAGUGGGUUGCAGCGGCCUGGGGGACAUUUGAGCCAAGACCUCAGUGGUCAGCAGGAGCCAGCCACGCAGUGUUCCAGGCUGAGGGACGGAGAUGCCAAGGCCUUUAGGGAAGGCCCGUGGACCCAAGUGGCUGGAGGGGCGCUUGGCCUCCACGAUGCGGGCAGGAGGCGCGGGGAGAGGCCGUGGAAGGCGAUGCGUUUGGGUUUGGACGUCGCAGGUGCCCGAGAGACAUUCAAGUGGAGCUGACUUGGGCUGUCUAGAAGAGAGGCGACGGGUGGCUCCGAAGGAAGAGGCCUGACACCGAGUCCGGAAGAACGUCGCAUCGAGGCAGAGGGCGCAGGACGAGCCAGCGACAAAGGCGGGGGCGGAGCAGCGGAGGGGUAGGCGCGAGGCAACGGCAGCCUUGGCCGCGCGGGCCACGCUCAGAACUUGGCAAGCCCUCUUUCCCAAACACUCGCCCCCAGCCGCCCCGGCCUCCCGGCGAACAACGCCUGUGCCUAAUCGCGCCGGGGACACCUAAUCCCGCCGCGCGCCGCUCCAGCCCGCGCCGCGCUCCCGAGGGCAGGGGCUCCAAGGGCGAGGGCUCCUGACGGCCUGGGC